Molecule: ribosomal RNA, 254 nt
Filed under: uncultured bacterium
Lineage: Bacteria
Description: partial 16S ribosomal RNA
Rfam family: Bacterial small subunit ribosomal RNA
Source: RNAcentral
GACGGAGGGGGCAAGCGUUGUCCGGAAUUAUUGGGCGUAAAGAGCUCGUAGGCGGCUCACUAAGUCGGAUGUGAAAACUCCAGGCUCAACCUGGAGACGCCAUUCGAUACUGGUGUGGCUUGAGUUCGGUAGGGGAGCACGGAAUUCCUGGUGUAGCGGUGAAAUGCGCAGAUAUCAGGAGGAACACCGGUGGCGAAGGCGGUGCUCUGGGCCGAAACUGACGCUGAGGAGCGAAAGCGUGGGUAGCAAACAGG